AAACCGGAAAAUCGGUUAGGGUUU
RNAcentral lists this small nuclear RNA (24 nucleotides) under Arabidopsis thaliana (thale cress). Its description in RNAcentral is "snRNA_09930". Lineage: Eukaryota; Viridiplantae; Streptophyta; Magnoliopsida; Brassicales; Brassicaceae. The record is from RNAcentral.